GGGCCCGCACAAGCGGUGGAGCAUGUGGUUUAAUUCGAUGAUACGCGAGGAACCUUACCAGGGCUUAAAUGUAGUCUGACAGGGGUGGAAACACCUCCUCCUUCGGGCAGAUUACAAGGUGCUGCAUGGUUGUCGUCAGCUCGUGCCGUGAGGUGUCAGGUUAAGUCCUAUAACGAGCGCAACCCCUGCCGUUAGUUGCCAGCAUGUAAUGAUGGGAACUCUAACGGGACUGCCGGUGCAAACCGCGAGGAAGGUGGGGAUGACGUCAAAUCAUCACGGCCCUUACGUCCUGGGCUACACACGUGCUACAAUGGCCGGUACAGAGGGCAGCCACACCGCAAGGUGGAGCGAAUCCUUAAAACCGGUCUCAGUUCGGAUCGGGGUCUGCAACUCGGCCCCGUGAAGCUGGAAUCGCUAGUAAUCGGAUAUC
RNAcentral lists this ribosomal RNA (430 nucleotides) under uncultured bacterium. RNAcentral describes it as "bacterial SSU rRNA". It matches the Rfam family "Bacterial small subunit ribosomal RNA", at positions 917 to 1350 of the family's 1533-position model. The record is from RNAcentral.